Long non-coding RNA from Hordeum vulgare subsp. vulgare (domesticated barley), 1352 nucleotides. RefSeq lists it as uncharacterized. The record is from RefSeq and is a predicted model, not a curated record. NCBI's taxonomy places the organism in Eukaryota, Viridiplantae, Streptophyta, Magnoliopsida, Poales, Poaceae. The transcript has 2 exons.
CCUUGCGACGCGCGCGUGGUGCGCGAGCUCCUCCGGUCGACGGGGCUCGGCGAGGGCGAGGGCGAGCCGCGCGUCGUGCACCAGUUCCUGGACCUGGCCUAUCGCUACGUCGGGGACGUGCUCGGCGAUGCCCAGGUCUACGCCGACCACGCAGCCAAGCCCCAGCUCGACGCCGACGACGUUCGUCUCGCAAUCCAGGCUAGGGUCAACUUCUCCUUCUUCCAGCCGCCGCCACGCGAGGGACGCUGCUGGUAAUUUAGCAGCCAUCUUACAGUUGAAAUUGGAAAUGAGACUACUCAGGUUCUUGAUGAGUUGGCUUUACUCUUUAGAUAUAUUAGGUACAUUAUCGAUAACUUUUCUUAGAUUUUAAUGCUCUUCAUGGGAUGGUUCAUGUCGAGUAAUCGCAUGGAAGGGAGAUGAUCUGUUAUAGCUUCUAGACCGGAGGGUAUGCCUUUGGCCAGGAUGCGCUAGAGGGCUAACAAGGUAUCAGCAAGGAGGCACUGUAUCCAGCGCAGAUCAGAAUGGUAACCGGGUAGUGGGGAAUAGAAAUUAGGGGAAGACUUGUCGAUUAAAUGAAUGCGUUCCACAAUAAGCACACAUCAAUCAAAGCUUCAGACAUGGUGGUUAGAAGGCACCAUCUGCAACAGCAGAGAUUGCGGUUUUGAGUGCUUGAGCUUACGAAAUGUCGUUUUCUUGUACACUUAUAGCCAUUUGAGGGACCAACAUAUCAGUCAGUGUCAUACUGAAAUUAUAAGGAGAAAAGAACAAGAAUACUUAUUACGAAUGUUCAGCUGAGCCCAUGUCUUGUUUGGAAAGUUGAAUGCUUAUAUACUGAAGGGUUCAAAAUUUUAGGAAUUAUGUGCAGCUAGUUCCAUAUAAACAAUGUAACAUUUGAGAAGCAAGCAAGAAGUUAAUAACCUCUUCUGUUAGCGCAGAGAUCCCGCUUGUACUGUAAGCAGACGCCUUUACUGUUGGACUUGGAAACAAGAAUACUCGGUGUCUUUAUUACUCUCUCCAUUCCUAAAUGUAUGUCUUUUUAGAGGUUUCAACAAGGACUACAAAAGAAUGUAUAUAGCCAUAUUUUAGUGUAUAGAUCCGUUCAUUUUGCUCCGUAUGUAGUACCCACUGGAAAAUGUUACAGCUUGCUUGCUGAUGCUUGUGCCCUUUGUGCCUAGCGCCCUGCUAUUUCACAAUGAAAAAUGCUGGUUACUGAGGGAAGGAAGCAGCCUUGCAAAUAGUGUGAGGUGUCCUGUAGGAAAUUAAUUAACCUGAGAGUUGCACGUAGUAGAGAUGAAUAUUUACUGUCAGAUGCACUCAUUUUGUUUUUAGAACAGUGUGUGUAAAGAUACCUU